CACGUAGGGGGCAAGCGUUGUCCGGAUUUAUUGGGCGUAAAGAGCUCGUAGGCGGCUCAGUAAGUCAGGUGUGAAACCUCCAGGCUCAACCUGGAGACGCCACCUGAUACUGCUGUGGCUAGAGUCCGGUGAGGGGAGCGGUGGAAUUCCUGGUGUAGCGGUGAAAUGCGCAGAUAUCAGGAGGAACACCAGCGGCGAAGGCGGCGCUCUGGGCCGGAACUGACGCUGAGGAGCGAAAGCGUGGGGAGCGAACAGG
Molecule: ribosomal RNA, 256 nt
Filed under: uncultured bacterium
Lineage: Bacteria
Description: partial 16S ribosomal RNA
Rfam family: Bacterial small subunit ribosomal RNA
Source: RNAcentral